Molecule: small RNA, 181 nt
Filed under: Pongo abelii (Sumatran orangutan)
Lineage: Eukaryota; Metazoa; Chordata; Mammalia; Primates; Hominidae
Description: processed transcript
Source: RNAcentral
GUCUCCAAAAAAAAGGAGAUAAAAAAUUAGUUACUAUCACAUCGGAUUGUUUUGAAGAUUAAAAGAGAUAAGAUAUGGUAUGUGCUGAGAACAGUUUCUGGCAAUGGUAGGGAUGAAUAAAUGUUAUUUUUAUUUCUUUUUCUUAGGACAGUGAGGAGGAAUUUGGUUCUGAGCGAGAUGA